Molecule: long non-coding RNA, 432 nt
Filed under: Capsella rubella
Lineage: Eukaryota; Viridiplantae; Streptophyta; Magnoliopsida; Brassicales; Brassicaceae
Description: long non-coding RNA (CRUB_LNC005137)
Source: RNAcentral
AAAUGAUUUCCAAAUUCAAUGUUGGAAAAGUGAUAGUACCUACCUACACAGGCAUCUGGGGGUUGGAGGAGGUAUGGGCCAAUGGCACAAUCAGCACUCAAGGAUUUCUGAAAUUAAAUAAGCUCAUUCAGGGUCCCAAGUCUCAUUGGAAAAAAAAAGAAAAGAAGAAGAAAACACACCUUUUAUAGUAAAAAAAUUAUUCUGUCCAAUUAUAAAAUUCUCAGCCCCCACUCAGUAAUCAAUAAGCAUCUCAAGCUAUAUAUAAGAAGUUUAAACCUUAAGAAGAAAUAAACAAGCAAAGCAUAGAGAAUAGACUUUAAUUUUAAGCUAUUUAAAAUAGUAAAAAUGUCUGCAACUGAGGUACCUUCUUCAGCGCAAGCCUUCCAAGAGCAAUUCCUUGGCAGUUUUGUCUCUAGAAAGCUGCUUCUGCAC